RNAcentral lists this long non-coding RNA (1265 nucleotides) under Monodelphis domestica (gray short-tailed opossum). RNAcentral describes it as "lncRNA (ENSMODG00000027804.2)". The record is from RNAcentral. Lineage: Eukaryota; Metazoa; Chordata; Mammalia; Didelphimorphia; Didelphidae.
AAUGCAUCUAGUUUAUCCCCACUGUAGAUGAUGUUAGCAGAUGGUUUUACAUAUAUCCUGUUUAUUAUUUUUAGGAAUGACCCUUCUAUUCCAAUACUUUCUAGUGUUUUUUUUUUUUUUUAAAUAUAUUUUAUUUGAUCAUUUCCAAGCAUUAUUCGUUAAAGACAUAGAUCAUUUUCUUUUCCUCCCCCCCACCCCCCAUAGCCGACGCGUAAGUCCACUGGGCAUUAGAUGUUUUCUUGAUUUGAACCCAUUGCUUUGUUGAUAGUAUUUGCACUAGAGUGUUCAUUUAGAGUCUAUCCUCUGUCAUGUCCCCUCAACCUCUGUAUUCAGGCAGUUGCUUUUUCUCGGUGUUUCCACUCUCAUAGUUUAUCCUUUGCUUAUGAAUGGUGUUUUUUUCUCCUGGAUCCCUGCAAGUUGUUCAGGGACAUUACACCGCCACUAAUGGAGAAGUCCAUUACGUUCGAUUAUACCACAGUGUAUUAGUCUCUGUGUACAAUGUUCUCCUGGUUCUGCUCCUCUCGCUCUGCAUCACUUCCUGGAGGUCGUUCCAGUCUCCAUGGAACUUCUCCACUUUAUUAUUCCUUUUAGCACAAUAGUACUCCAUCACCAACAUAUACCACAGUUUGUUCAGCCAUUCCCCAAUUGAUGGGCAUCCCCUCGUUUUCCAGUUUUGGGCCACCACAAAGAGCGCAGCUAUGAAUAUUUUUGUACAAGUCUUUGUGUCCAUUAUCUCUUUGGGGUACAGACCCAGCAGUGCUAUGGCUGGGUCAAAGGGUAGAUAUUCUUUUGUCGCCCUUUGGGCAUAGUUCCAAAUUGCCCUCCAGAAUGGUUGGAUCAGUUCACAGCUCCACCAGCAAUGAAUUAAUGUCCCUACUUUGCCACAUCCCCUCCAGCAUUCAUUACUUUCCUUUGCUGUUAUGUUAGCCAAUCUGCUAGGUGUGAGGUGAUACCUCAGAGUUGUUUUGAUUUGCAUCUCUCUGAUUAUAAGAGAUGUAGAACACUUCUUCAUGUGCUUGUUAAUAGUUUUGAUUUCUUUAUCUGAGAACUGCCUAUCCAUUUCCCUUGCCCAUUUAUCAAUUGGAGAAUGGCUUGAUUUUUUGUACAAUUGAUUUAGCUCAUUAUAAAUAUGAGUAAUUAAACCUUUGUCAGAGGUUUCUAUGAAGAUGUUUUCCCAAUUUGUUGUUUCCCUUCUGAUUUUAGUUAUAUUGGUUUUGUUUGUACAAAAGCUUUUUAGUUUGAUGUAGUCAAAAUUAUUUAUUUUA